UGGGAAGUGAGGAGUGUCUCUGCCUGGCCU
Molecule: non-coding RNA, 30 nt
Filed under: Homo sapiens (human)
Lineage: Eukaryota; Metazoa; Chordata; Mammalia; Primates; Hominidae
Source: RNAcentral